RNAcentral lists this ribosomal RNA (322 nucleotides) under uncultured eukaryote. RNAcentral's name for it is "partial 18S ribosomal RNA". It matches the Rfam family "Eukaryotic small subunit ribosomal RNA", at positions 1470 to 1796 of the family's 1831-position model. The record is from RNAcentral.
CCCUUAGAUGUUCUGGGCCGCACGCGUGCUACACUGAGUGGAUCAGCGGGUCAGGUUGCGCGAAAGCGUUUCCUAAUCUUUAAAUCCGCUCGUGAUGGGGAUUGACGGUUGCAAUUUUCUGUCAUGAACGAGGAAUACCUUGUAAGCGCGGGUCAUCAUCCCGCGCUGAAUACGUCCCUGCCCUUUGUACACACCGCCCGUUGCUCCUACCGAUUGAGUGGUCCGGUGAGGCUUUGGGAUCUGAGCGGAAAGAGCGUUUCGCUGUUUCUGCUCGGAAAACUCAGUCGAACCUUAUCAUUUAGAGGAAGGAGAAGUCGUAACA